Molecule: long non-coding RNA, 790 nt
Filed under: Pan troglodytes (chimpanzee)
Lineage: Eukaryota; Metazoa; Chordata; Mammalia; Primates; Hominidae
Description: long non-coding RNA NONPTRT017071
Source: RNAcentral
UGAAGAGGUGAAGGAGUAGGAUUUCCUUUGAAGGAUCUUGAAGUCCUUGACAGAUGAGAAGAAUAUUGAAGCUGCCUAAGAAGGUCACAGCUGGAAGGCCUGAGCUGCUUUGCUGAGGGGUAGUGGGCCCUGCUGAACAAGGUACCCUAGUGAUGCCGGAGGGUUUGGAGGGCAGGAGUGCAUGUUCUCUAACAUCUGUUAAUGUAGGCCAGAGGUAUAAAUGUCUAGAGCCAGGAGGAUUCUGCAAGCAAUUAUGUUAGACUGGCCAGUCAGCACAAUAGAGGAGUGAGCUGUGGGGAAUAGAGGGUACACACGCAGCUGCAGAAAGCCAAAGAUUUCCUUUGCUAAUAAAGAUCUGGAAGCAGUCAUUGUACUCUGCUUCCCAAGAGGCAAGUUGUCUAAUCAGUAGACCACAGCGCAGAGAGAUCAAUCAAGAUGGUGGCCUUGCCUGUGCAGGUUCUGCCAGGUCAAGUGAAGCGUCAAGCUGGAGAAGAUCUAAAUGCUGACAGAAUGCUGGAACCUGCAGCCAUGUGGCCAGGAGACAGAUUCGCCUCCAGACUUCACAUGAAUCUUUUUGGGCAGUUUAACCAGUGUCACCCAGAAACCAAUACCCGUUAAUAAGCUGCUAGAUGGGAACAAAAAAAUGAAGCUCUGGAAUGCAGCCAGUGAGCCGGCUCUACUGAAACAUUGCUUACAACUUCUCUGCUGAUCCAGAUGUGAGACAAAUGUACGACCAUAGAUUCAAUUAGUAGCAAUCGCUAUAAAGUGAGCUGAAAAUGGAACAGAAAAU